Molecule: ribosomal RNA, 253 nt
Filed under: uncultured bacterium
Lineage: Bacteria
Description: partial 16S ribosomal RNA
Rfam family: Bacterial small subunit ribosomal RNA
Source: RNAcentral
UACGUAGGGUGCGAGCGUUGCCCGGAUUUAUUGGGCGUAAAGGGCGCGUAGGCGGCUCGGCACGUCCGUUGUGAAAUCGCCCGGCUCAACUGGGCGGGGUCAGCGGAUACGGUCGAGCUUGAGCAAGCUAGGGGGCAAUGGAAUUCCCGGUGUAGUGGUGGAAUGCGUAGAUAUUGGGAGGAACACCAGUGGCGAAGGCGGUUGCCUGGAGCUUUGCUGACGCUGAGGCGCGAAAGCGUGGGGAGCAAACAGG